Molecule: non-coding RNA, 29 nt
Filed under: Cricetulus griseus (Chinese hamster)
Lineage: Eukaryota; Metazoa; Chordata; Mammalia; Rodentia; Cricetidae
Source: RNAcentral
UCCAGCUUGUAAACUACAUUGAAACGAGA